GGCAACAUCAUGUUGAAACACUGGUUCCCAUAUGAUCACCGAAGUUAAGCAACAUUGAACUUGGUCAGUACCUAGAUGGGUGACUGCUUAGAAAGACCAGGUUUUGUAAG
This is a non-coding RNA of Acanthosepion pharaonis, 110 nucleotides long. Lineage: Eukaryota; Metazoa; Mollusca; Cephalopoda; Sepiida; Sepiidae. The record is from the annotation of a GenBank genome assembly.